UGAUAUGGCUCAGUAGGUAGAGCACCACCUUGGUAAGGUGGAGGUCCCGGGUUCGAAUCCCGGUAUCA
This 68-nucleotide transfer RNA is filed under the name bovine gut metagenome. It matches the Rfam family "tRNA". Rfam says of the family: Transfer RNA (tRNA) molecules are approximately 80 nucleotides in length. The record is from RNAcentral.